Molecule: ribosomal RNA, 484 nt
Filed under: uncultured bacterium
Lineage: Bacteria
Description: partial 16S ribosomal RNA
Rfam family: Bacterial small subunit ribosomal RNA
Source: RNAcentral
AUUGAACGCUGGCGGAAUGCUUUACACAUGCAAGUCGAACGAUGAACCUUAGCUUGCUAAGGGGAUUAGUGGCGAACGGGUGAGUAAUAUAUCGGAACGUGCCUUGUAAUGGGGGAUAACUAGUCGAAAGAUUAGCUAAUACCGCAUACGCCCUGAGGGGGAAAGUAGGGGAUCUUCGGACCUUACGUUAUAAGAGCGGCCGAUAUCUGAUUAGCUAGUUGGUGGGGUAAUGGCCUACCAAGGCGACGAUCAGUAGCUGGUCUGAGAGGACGACCAGCCACACUGGAACUGAGACACGGUCCAGACUCCUACGGGAGGCAGCAGUGGGGAAUUUUGGACAAUGGGCGCAAGCCUGAUCCAGCCAUUCCGCGUGAGAGAAGAAGGCCUUCGGGUUGUAAAGCUCUUUCGCAAGGGAAGAAAACUUACCAUCGAAUAAAUGGUGAGGCUGACGGUACCUUGAUAAGAAGCACCGGCUAACUACGUG